RNAcentral lists this transfer RNA (69 nucleotides) under Lysmata boggessi. Its description in RNAcentral is "tRNA-Leu". Lineage: Eukaryota; Metazoa; Arthropoda; Malacostraca; Decapoda; Hippolytidae. The record is from RNAcentral.
ACUGUUUUGGCAGAACAAAUGCAUUAGAUUUAGGAUCUAAAUAUAUAGACAUUAUAACUAUAGACGGUA